CCCGGCACAAGCGGCGGAGCAUGUGGAUUAAUUCGAUGCAACGCGAAGAACCUUACCUGGGUUUGACAUAUACCGGAAAGCUGCAGAGAUGUCGGCCCCCCUUGUGGUCGGUAUACAGGUGGUGCAUGGCUGUCGUCAGCUCGUGUCGUGAGAUGUUGGGUUAAGUCCCGCAACGAGCGCAACCCUAUCUUAUGUUGCCAGCACGUUAUGGUGGGGACUCGUAAGAGACUGCCGGGGUCAACUCGGAGGAAGGUGGGGACGACGUCAAGUCAUCAUGCCCCUUAUGUCCAGGGCUUCACACAUGCUACAAUGGCCAGUACAGAGGGCUGCGAGACCGUGAGGUGGAGCGAAUCCCUUAAAGCUGGUCUCAGUUCGGAUCGGGGUCUGCAACUCGACCCCGUGAAGUCGGAGUCGCUAGUAAUCGCAGAUCAGCAACGCUGCGGUGAAUACGUUCCCGGGCCUU
This 463-nucleotide ribosomal RNA is filed under the name uncultured Rhodococcus sp. RNAcentral describes it as "bacterial SSU rRNA". It matches the Rfam family "Bacterial small subunit ribosomal RNA", at positions 920 to 1382 of the family's 1533-position model. The record is from RNAcentral. Lineage: Bacteria; Bacillati; Actinomycetota; Actinomycetes; Mycobacteriales; Nocardiaceae.